This 465-nucleotide ribosomal RNA is filed under the name uncultured bacterium. RNAcentral's name for it is "partial 16S ribosomal RNA". It matches the Rfam family "Bacterial small subunit ribosomal RNA", at positions 338 to 795 of the family's 1533-position model. The record is from RNAcentral.
CCUACGGGAGGCAGCAGUGGGGAAUAUUGCGCAAUGGGCGAAAGCCUGACGCAGCGACGCCGCGUGAGGGAUGAAGGUCUUCGGAUCGUAAACCUCUGUCAGCAGGGAAGAACGGUCACUGUGCUAAUCAGCAGUGAAUUGACGGUACCUGCAAAGGAAGCACCGGCUAACUCCGUGCCAGCAGCCGCGGUAAGACGGAGGGUGCGAGCGUUAAUCGGAAUUACUUGGCGUAAAGCGCUCGUAGGCGGUAUGUCAAGUCAAGGGUGAAAUCCCCGCGCUCAACGUGGGAACUGCCUUUGAAACUGGCAAACUGGAGUGUGUGAGAGGAUAGUGGAAUUCCAGGUGUAGGAGUGAAAUCCGUAGAUAUCUGGAGGAACAUCAGUGGCGAAGGCGACUAGCUGGAACAUAACUGACGCUGAGGAGCGAAAGCGUGGGUAGCAAACAGGAUUAGAUACCCGGGUAGUC